This 251-nucleotide ribosomal RNA is filed under the name uncultured prokaryote. RNAcentral describes it as "partial 16S ribosomal RNA". It matches the Rfam family "Bacterial small subunit ribosomal RNA", at positions 525 to 775 of the family's 1533-position model. The record is from RNAcentral.
ACGUAGGGGGCAAGCGUUGUCCGGAAUGAUUGGGCGUAAAGGGCGCGUAGGCGGCCGCGUAAGUCCGACGUGAAAUUCCUGCUUUUAAGGUAGGAAUUGCGUUGGAAACUGCGUGGCUUGAGUGCAGGAGAGGUAAGUGGAAUUCCCGGUGUAGCGGUGAAAUGCGUAGAGAUCGGGAGGAACACCAGUGGCGAAGGCGACUUACUGGACUGUAACUGACGCUGAGGCGCGAAAGUGUGGGGAGCAAACAG